AACGAACGCUGGCGGCAGGCUUGCACAUGCGAGUCGAACGCAUCCUUCGGGGUGAGUGGCAGACGGGCGAGUAACGCGUGGGAACGUGCCCUUCAGUUCGGGAUAACCCAGGGAAACUUGGGCUAAUACCGGAUACGUGCGAGAGCAGAAAGAUUUAUCGCUGAAGGAUCGGCCCGCGUCUGAUUAGCUAGUUGGUGGGGUAAUGGCCCACCAAGGCGACGAUCAGUAGCCGGUCUGAGAGGAUGAUCAGCCACAUUGGGACUGAGACACGGCCCAAACUCCUACGGGAGGCAGCAGUGGGGAAUAUUGGACAAUGGGCGCAAGCCUGAUCCAGCCAUGCCGCGUGAGUGAUGAAGGCCUUAGGGUUGUAAAGCUCUUUCGUCCGGGACGAUAAUGACGGUACCGGAAGAAGAAGCCCCGGCUAACUUCGUGCCAGCCGCCGCCGUAA
Molecule: ribosomal RNA, 448 nt
Filed under: uncultured bacterium
Lineage: Bacteria
Description: partial 16S ribosomal RNA
Rfam family: Bacterial small subunit ribosomal RNA
Source: RNAcentral